GUCCGUCCUUGAUCGUCUUUUAAAUGGAUUUAAAAAUAGUGAUAUUUAUAAUGUCAAGGUCUACACUGUACUUAUACACAGAUAAGCGGAUUCACUAACGUAAGGAGGAGGAGAAUUUUAUCAGAUCGUUCACCACCAUAACUUCCAGGUUAUUAGUGCAUGCCUCAACUCAGUCGGACUCCUACAAUUCAAAUGACCUACAAACGCCCCGAGUUCAAGAUGUCAGAAGCUAUUUUAGUUUUGCAGUCGUUUUCUGUCCACGAACUGAUUGCAGAUCAGAAUCGUUGGGCUGCUAUUCAGCUGGAUCGGCGCGACUGAAGAAGGAGUUUGGUUUCUCUCUUCGCUGGCAACCGGGACAUGGACGCCCCCGACUCUCCACCUUUCAGUUCUCUUACUUUACCGUUUUAAAUAUGGCCGUGUAGUUUAAUGCAGCUUUUAUUCCACGACAUCCCACCCAUCUGAUAAACCGUUUGUCGUCUCAGAACUGUAUUUAAGUUGGCAAACUGGAACAGACCAUCCGACUAAUUUUUUGAGUCUUUCAAAAUUCCUUAAAUUACUCGGGUGAGUUAGGGGAUGAGGCCAUUCAGUUGUACGGUUAUGGCAAAUCAGUCUUUAAAUAAAAAGAAGCAAUAAGGACAUCAUUUUAUAGACCAGAAACAUCACAGGAAUAUUAGAAUGAUCACUAAGAAACUUACCAAGUCGAUACAUCAUAGAAAAGUGUCUCUGUGACUCUGCUGACAUUGAUCGGAAGAGACAGAGGAGGAUCCACCACCAAACAUGCAUGGAACAAACACCCUUCGCUAUGACAUGUCAGAAGAGGAUCUAGUGUCUUGCCUCCCCCUUGUCAUAGUAUCAGUUUGUCACAACCAGCCAUUAUUCUUUUUCCUGGCACAGCAUUGCUGUACACUGUAGUUUUUCCUGUCUUCAAACAUUCAGAUGGAGUCACUUAAUCUCAGGCUUCUAAGAAAAUGCUUCUGUGUUUCUCAUUUAUAUGAAAGAACAUUAAUUUUGCGUUUUAAAUUCCCAAACUACAAUAACAUGUCAUACAAUUCAGGAAAGUCAUGUCUCAGUAUGUGGGUUUGAAUGCUUUGUUUUUUUUAUCUUGGUACUAGAUGUGUUUAUAGAAAAAAAACACUUAAUCUUCAUGGAAGAAAUACGGAUGGUUCACAUUCUGCCAACGAUUUAGGCUGGAAGGCCCAGACAACCGUCUACACAGGAAAAAUACUCAAUAACACACCGAAGAGGCUGCUUUUCAUCAAAACUGACAAAUGUCAGUAUUUAUUUUUCUUCCAGACCACAAUAAUCCCAAAACCUGAUCUACACAUUUUCCUUAAAACCUAACAAUCAAAGACUAGGUAGAAAACAAAAAACAGUUUAUACCUCAGUUUGACUCCCAGGAAUAUGUAAUGAAAUGGUUUCAUACAAAGUUCUCAGUACUGAAAAUGCAAUCUGUUACCUUGGCUUCAUAUGACAGUGAUCAUAUAGGCUUUUCGUUAGAAUUGUAUAAAUUACGCAAAUAUUAAAAUUACCUAGAAUGUCCAGUAAGUUAAACCGAUCAGCAAGUUAAAACUCUCUCUUUAAAAGCGCCCGAGGUCGUCAGUCGUCUUUGGCAGGAAGCUUGUUUGGCUUCCAGUCGAAGGACGUUGCUUGGGGCACACGAAGCAGGAAGACACCAAUAGAGACGACGGUGAGGCCACACAGCAUACCCAGGCAAUCCACCGCACCCAAGGCCGUCCAUUCCUUGAAAAACACGGCCGACGCCAGGAUGACGGAGGUGGUGAACGCCACAUAGUAUAUGGCUUCAAACGUGCUGGGGCUGAAGCUCUCCAGGGCCUUAUUGAUGAAGGUGAACUGGAGGAGGACGCUGACGACGAGUGUUCCCAGGAGACCCAGGAAGAGUGUGUGCGCCCCGCUGUUGGGAGAGCCACCUGCAAAGGCAUCAGGGGUGACCAAGCCCAGCCCCUUGCUGCUGGGCACAGUGAAGCUUCCCAGCAGCGAGCAGAUGGAGACGUACACCAUGAUGUUCGAGGAGCCGUGAAGUGGAGCCACCCACGUGAUCAGCACGACCAGAAUCAGCAGCACCAUAAAGAUGUAGGCAAAAAGCACUGAAUGGAGAGAAAGACUUUCACUAACCUUGUCUCAGAAGCCGAUUACAUUAGCCAAUCAGUAUUUGUGUGACUUGCAAGGAAUGCGUAAAGCGGUAUCAUUAGCAACAGUACAGACUUAGAAAUGACUAAUAAUCAAACCAGGACACAGUAAAAUAAAAAGGACGAUGCGUACAGGGAUCUUGCAGCCUGCCUUCCAGCUCCGCUCUGGAGCUCACGUUAUCCAACUUUGGAGCGUGGAUGAUCAGCACCACAGAUCCCACGCAGCACAGGACGCAGCCCAGCUUCCCCAGGAAGGUCAGACGUUCCUGGAGCACCCAGGAAGCCAGCAGGGCCCUGUGGCACAAAAGGAACAUGGCACACCAACUCAGAGUCCCGUUUUCAGUAGGCUCAUCCAGCAACAACAGGGUUCAAAAACGUUUUAGCUACACAACGAGACACAUCGUGUCUUGUUUCUAUUUCAUACUCUGAGCCUGUGUGCAAAAUAUUGACCGGAUUGAGCAACAUUUAGAUGUCCCCCAAAAUGUCGACUUGCAUUAGGUCUAUGAAAUUAUGUUCCAGGUAGUUUACUUCGUGUUGAUAAAUCAAAAUAUGUGAUAUUAUAAAUUAUAUCAUAUGUAAUUAUUAAUUUAUAUACAUGAUUGUUUUUAAUCCCAGGCAUCGUUUCAGGUGAACUGUGACUAGCUCUGACGAGUUGUGGCUGAUUGGUUAUCACCACCAGGAUAUGAGGUCAGCAGGCUUCCCUCUCAAGGCCAAGCAUUGUGAAAGUACUUCUCUCGUCACAGAUGAACGAAACAGACCAAGGCAGAAGCCGCAAAAGUGCUGGGGCCAUUAGUGUCAUUAGUUUUUGGAACGCAGCCCAUAUUCCCACUUUUCCAAGGCUCCUGACCCUCACUGAUGAGUAGGACGGCCUACUAAAGCCCCAGUCGGGUCUCAAACACGGACAGGGUCAAGGAAGCAAUGUUUCAGGACUCCCUGGAAGACAUAUCCGACGCUGGCCACUUAAAUGCGUCUUAGAUGAAAAAUACGGCUGGAGUCCACACUGUACUUGCCAAGGAAGUCGCUGGCAGAGCGGGGCCACCGGUGGGCCCUUGAGUGAGGCCCUUAACUUCCAUGGCUCCAGGGACGCUGUGUGACUCUGCUCUCUGAUCCUCACUUGUAUGUCACUUUGGGCAAAAGCGUGUCUGCUCAAUAAAUGUAUGGAACUGUAAUCAAAA
Long non-coding RNA from Brienomyrus brachyistius, 3322 nucleotides. RefSeq lists it as uncharacterized. Lineage: Eukaryota; Metazoa; Chordata; Actinopteri; Osteoglossiformes; Mormyridae. The record is from RefSeq and is a predicted model, not a curated record. The transcript has 3 exons.